GGACCUUUAGCUCAGUUGGUUAGAGCGUUUCCUUGACAUGGAAAAGGUCACUGGUUCGAGUCCAGUAAGGUCCACCA
This 77-nucleotide transfer RNA is filed under the name Opitutus sp. Its description in RNAcentral is "tRNA-Val". It matches the Rfam family "tRNA". Rfam says of the family: Transfer RNA (tRNA) molecules are approximately 80 nucleotides in length. Their secondary structure includes four short double-helical elements and three loops (D, anti-codon, and T loops). Further hydrogen bonds mediate the characteristic L-shaped molecular structure. tRNAs have two regions of fundamental functional importance: the anti-codon, which is responsible for specific mRNA codon recognition, and the 3' end, to which the tRNAs corresponding amino acid is attached (by aminoacyl-tRNA synthetases). tRNAs cope with the degeneracy of the genetic code in two manners: having more than one tRNA (with a specific anti-codon) for a particular amino acid; and 'wobble' base-pairing, i.e. permitting non-standard base-pairing at the 3rd anti-codon position. The record is from RNAcentral. RNAcentral also lists the same sequence under 9 other names. Lineage: Bacteria; Pseudomonadati; Verrucomicrobiota; Opitutia; Opitutales; Opitutaceae.